AUCUUCUGUCACUCAGGGCCUGAGGGGGUGGGGUUUUAAACGUUAUCCAAUGAACGACUUUAGGCUGGGAACUGUCCAAUCAGACACGUAGCUGGAGCGAACAGGACGGAUUCCGGAACGUGGCGGGUCCUUUGUCUCCUGUUGCAGCUGCAGCUUUAAGUCUUUUCUUCGCUGCUCGGCGUCCUCAGCUGCAAGAGGCCCGGCGUCUGCGGCCCUGUGACCUACAGGUCUUCGGAGAUCCACAGCUCAGACGCGGGACCCCCUGGAAGCCUAGAAAUGUUAGGGUUAUUUCUCCCCAGGGGAGACUGUAACCAAGCAGAUGCAAUUUCAGCCCAGUCUUGAAGAAGAUAGGCCUCCGCUGGCCAGGGUGACUCCCAUACAUUAACAGAAGAAAUGAGGAACUGGGAACCCCACAGAGCAAAACUCUUCACACUCACGGAACCAGGAUUCUCCCGGAGUCAGGAUUCUCCCCUGAGUACCCUCUUGUGGUCCCUGCACAAUCUGGAAGAGACGCGAUGCUGCGGGUGCAGAGCUGCUCAGAGAUGACUCCAGACCAGUGCACAGUCAGUGCACAGGGAAGAGACAGUACACUAGGAACGGCUGUAAGCACAGCCGCCAUCUUACGGUUGAAGAGGACUGAGGCCGAGCUGGGCAAAGAGAACUCGGGGCACAGAUUGUGGAGCUGACUGCAGGGAGGCCUGAGUCCUGCCACAGCCACUUCCCAUCGGUUCCAACCAACCCCUUCCCUUCUCUCGGAAUGUCGGACUGGCAUGCUCACCAUUUCUGAACUUCCAGGGGGUCCUGGCGUUGUAGCUGUGGAUCGACCAAUAGCUGCAGGUCACAGGGCCAUAGAGGCUGGGCUUCUAGGAGCAGAAGACACAGAGAAGAGAAAACCAGAUCGGGAGCUCCGGCUGCAGCAAGAGACAAAGGCCCCGCCACAUCCCGGAAGCCUUCCUGUCUGCUCCAGCUGCGUGCCUGAUUGGAUGAGUCCCAGCCCAACGUUGCUGAUUGGAUAACGUUUAAAACCCCACCUUCUCAGGCCGUGAGUGACAGAAGAUAUCCGAUUCUAGGCUGAGUGAAGAAAACUGACAGCCUCUGCUGCAGCCUUUUCAGGCAGGCGCUUUCUCCCUGAGCUGAGCCCGGCCCACCACAGAAAGUAGCCUUUAAACUUGUGUGUAAAGUCAUAUGCAUUUUAAAAUAACAUUCUGUAUGGCUAUUCACAAAUGAAAGGAAUAUAAUAACAAUUAUUUUUAAAUUUCAGCUUUUUUACCUUCCUGGCUUCUAGUCUU
Long non-coding RNA from Cebus imitator (Panamanian white-faced capuchin), 1289 nucleotides. RefSeq lists it as uncharacterized. The record is from RefSeq and is a predicted model, not a curated record. The transcript has 3 exons. Lineage: Eukaryota; Metazoa; Chordata; Mammalia; Primates; Cebidae.